AAGACCUUUAAAUUAGUCCCGUGAGACUGAGAAGGAUUUCGGAUAAAAAAAGCACAAUACGUGUAUGGUUAUUAUCAGGCACAUAUGUGGUUUUAUCCUCUCUUGUCUCAACGGCAAGAGGGGAUUUUUUU
Regulatory RNA element from Pontibacillus yanchengensis Y32, 131 nucleotides. It matches the Rfam family "PyrR binding site". From Rfam's summary of the family: This family represents the PyrR binding site and terminator structure. This RNA structure is found upstream of a variety of genes involved in pyrimidine biosynthesis and transport. Lineage: Bacteria; Bacillati; Bacillota; Bacilli; Caryophanales; Bacillaceae. The record is from Rfam.